AUCUAGUUGACGAGUCCCAAAUAGGACCAAACACCCGUCCUGGAU
This is a non-coding RNA of Schistosoma mattheei, 45 nucleotides long. The record is from Rfam. NCBI's taxonomy places the organism in Eukaryota, Metazoa, Platyhelminthes, Trematoda, Strigeidida, Schistosomatidae.